This 216-nucleotide long non-coding RNA is filed under the name Elaeis guineensis (African oil palm). RNAcentral describes it as "long non-coding RNA (EGUI_LNC044468)". Lineage: Eukaryota; Viridiplantae; Streptophyta; Magnoliopsida; Arecales; Arecaceae. The record is from RNAcentral.
CUCUUUGUAUAUUCAUCUAGUCUCAACAAGUCAUCAAAAGGAGCAGCUUUUCCAUCCUUAACGUCGAGCCCUUGUCGACACCUAUUGUGGUGCCAUUCAGGACCCGCAUUGGCGAACUGGAGAAGAAGGUGAGAGCAUAGAGAAAAAGGGCUUUGAGUCGGAAGACGGAGCUUAUCGAAGUCAGGGAGGCACUAAGGGAGGCUUCAGCAGAGGUCG